RNAcentral lists this unclassified non-coding RNA (216 nucleotides) under Hevea brasiliensis (rubber tree). The record is from RNAcentral. Lineage: Eukaryota; Viridiplantae; Streptophyta; Magnoliopsida; Malpighiales; Euphorbiaceae.
CAAAAGCUUAUCUUCAAAUUGCAAAAUAGGAAAAUCAUUCACAGAGACAAAGAGAAAGUGUUAUGGGUUUGCUAAAUUCUUGACGACAAUGGUGAAACUGUGAGAGUAGGAGGUGAAAACCUUAAUUAUCUCUAGGGGUCUGUAACGAUUCCUGAUUACUAUUCACAGCCGAAUCAAGCACCGUUCCUCUACAGCGGAUUUGGGAUCACUAGUCAC